Molecule: ribosomal RNA, 513 nt
Filed under: uncultured bacterium
Lineage: Bacteria
Description: partial 16S ribosomal RNA
Rfam family: Bacterial small subunit ribosomal RNA
Source: RNAcentral
GACGAACGCUGGCGGCGUGCCUAAUACAUGCAAGUCGAGCGGACAGAAGGGAGCUUGCUCCCGGACGUUAGCGGCGGACGGGUGAGUAACACGUAGGUAACCUGCCCCUUAGACUGGGAUAACUCCGGGAAACCGGAGCUAAUACGGGAUAAUAAAGAGAAUCACCUGAUUCUCUUUUGAAAGACGGCGUCUAGCUGUCACUAAGGGAUGGGCCUGCGGCGCAUUAGCUAGUUGGUAAGGUAACGGCUUACCAAGGCGACGAUGCGUAGCCGACCUGAGAGGGUGAUCGGCCACACUGGGACUGAGACACGGCCCAGACGCCUACGGGAGGCAGCAGUAGGGAAUCUUCCGCAAUGGACGAAAGUCUGACGGAGCAACGCCGCGUGAGUGAGGAAGGCCUUCGGGUCGUAAAGCUCUGGUGUGAGGGAAGAACAAGUACCGGGGUAACUACCGGUACCUUGACGGUACCUCACCAGAAAGCCACGGCUAACUACGUGCCAGCAGCCGCCGUAA